GAUCAUGGCUCAGGAUGAACGCUGGCUACAGGCUUAACACAUGCAAGUCGAGGGGCAGCAUGACGAUAGCUUGCUAUUGUUGAUGGCGACCGGCGCACGGGUGGGUAACGCGUAUCCAACCUUCCCGUUGCUAGGGGAUAACCUUGCGAAAGUAAGACUAAUACCCUAUGAAGUUCUUCGCAGACAUCUAAAGAGAACGAAAGAUUUAUCGGCAACGGAUGGGGAUGCGU
Molecule: ribosomal RNA, 230 nt
Filed under: uncultured bacterium
Lineage: Bacteria
Description: partial 16S ribosomal RNA
Rfam family: Bacterial small subunit ribosomal RNA
Source: RNAcentral